This 4924-nucleotide long non-coding RNA is filed under the name Fragaria vesca (wild strawberry). Its description in RNAcentral is "long non-coding RNA (FVES_LNC003312)". The record is from RNAcentral. Lineage: Eukaryota; Viridiplantae; Streptophyta; Magnoliopsida; Rosales; Rosaceae.
GGUGGCUCCCCGCUGGUCAAAGAGUUCUGUGUAAACAUCGAGACAGGACAGAGACUCAACAUCACCUUCACACCAAGCAAAGAUGCUUACGCUUUCAUCAACGGAAUCGAAGUUGUGUCCAUGCCUACCAGUUUUUACUAUACUUCCUCACCUAAUUUCAUUGACACCAGCGCAAGCUCAUAUCCAAUCAGAAACGACACAGCUCUGGAGAUGGUGUACCGAAUCAACGUCGGUGGAGGCCCCAUCGCGCAGGACGAAGACACCGGAAUGUACCGGAAUUGGGACUCGGCCGACGAUAAGUAUUUGGAUGAUCUAAGUGGAAAAUUCAGCGUGCUUCCACAGAACAAUACCAUCGAGCUCAACUUCGUCAGAGUUCCAGAGUACUCUGCUCCGAAACGGGUUUACACAACAGGUCGGUCAAUGGGGAUGAACACAACCAUCAACAAGAGCUAUAACCUCACAUGGAUAUUUCCCUUGGAUCCCAAGUUUUAUUACCUGGUGAGACUCCAUUUCUGUGAGUUUGAAUCUGACAUUACCGAGUCUAGUGAUCGAGCGUUUCAAAUCUUCUUGGCCAAUCAAACCGCAGAACAACUUGCAGAUGUUAUUGUAUGGAGUGGAGCUAAUGGGAAUCCAGUUUACAGAGACUACGUUGUCGGCAUGUUCAUGCCUCCGGUUGGAAGCGAGAAGAAAGUUAAUCUCUAUCUAGUACUGGCAGCGCUACAGAGAGAUUCAUAUACUAGAUACAACGAUGCCAUCUUGAACGGACUAGAAAUCUUCAAGCUCAACGACUCCACUGGAAACCUUGCUGGACCUAACCCUGAUCCAAUAACUCAGGUCGACGCACCAAAGAGUAGUCCUGGUAAGAAAAAGUCUACUCCUAUGGCAGCUAUUAUUGCAGGCGUAGCUUCCGGGCUAGUUGUGCUCUCUGUUCUCGGAUUCUUUAUUUUCCGGCGAGGCAGAAAGGUCAAGGACUCUAGCAGAAGCCAAUCAAAGUGGGGUGUCAUUUCGUUUUCAAUGACUACCAAGUCCACUAAGUCCUACGGUUCAUCUCUGCCGUCCGAGUUGUGUCACCACUUCUCAUUGGCGGAGAUCAGAGCCGCCACGAAUAAUUUUGAUGCUUCCAACAUUAUUGGCCUCGGCGGGUUUGGUAACGUGUACAAAGGUACCAUCAACGGUGCUCCCACCCCCGUUGCGAUCAAACGGCUCAAAGCCGAGUCGUCUCAGGGGGCCCUAGAGUUCAAGACCGAGAUCGACUUGCUCUCCCAACUCCGUCACCUCCAUCUUGUGUCUUUAAUCGGUUAUUGUGACGACGAGGGUGAGAUGAUAUUGGUGUAUGACUACAUGGAAAAUGGGACGUUACGUGAUCAUUUGUACAACACCAAAAGUAUUCCACCUCUUUCUUGGGAACAAAGGCUACAAGCUUGUAUUGGCGCGGCGCGUGGGUUGCACUACCUUCACACCGGUGCUAAGUGCAUGAUCAUCCACCGUGAUGUGAAGAGCACAAACAUCUUGUUGGACGAUAAAUGGGUGGCAAAGGUAUCCGAUUUCGGGUUGUCGAAAAUGGGACCGACGACCAUGUCCAAGACUCACAUUAGCACCGUGGUUAAGGGAAGUUUCGGAUAUCUCGACCCGGAGUACUACCGGCGUCAGCAGCUAACUGAGAAGUCUGAUGUCUAUUCAUUUGGUGUAGUAUUGUGUGAAGUGUUGUGUGCUAGACCGGCUUUGAUACGUACAAAGGAGAAGAAGCAAAUGAACCUAGCUGCAUGGUUUAAGACGUGUUAUGGAAAUGGGACGCUUGACCAAAUCAUUGAUCCAAAUUUGAGGGGUAAGAUUGUGAAUGUGUGCUUGAACAAGUUUGUUGAAGUUGCAAUUAGUUGUAUGCAUGAUAAUGGGAAUGAAAGACCGUCGAUGAAUGAUGUUGUAUGGGCGCUUGAGUUUGCAUUGAAGCUUCAACAGACUGCAGAGGGUUUGGAGUUGGAUUUCAAUGCCGGAAAGAAGAAUGAAGAUGAGGCUCCAUUGGUGAAUGAUAGUGAUGAAAGGUUUAGUGGCAUUUGGGCAGACUCGUCAAGUUCUAAGAACAGCAGGGUGACCAAAACUAGUAGCAGUGACCAGAAUUCUAGUACCAGUGAAUCCAUUAAAGGGUUGUCUGGGACUGUCUUUUCUGAGAUCUAUGAUCCAAAUGGAAGAUGAAUUCGAUCAUAACUGAUCGAUUAGCGAGGCUGUUUUAGGCGGGUAGCGUACUGGUGUUCAAUAAUCUCAAACUCAAUUUGUAAUUAUGUAGUUUGCUUUGAUCAAUUAAAGUGUUCUGUGAUGAACACAAUCUCAACUCAAUUUGUAAUUAUGUAGUUUGCUUUGAUCAAUCCAAGCGUACUGUCAUGAAGUAAUUUUGAACGGGGAUAUACAUCAUUUGCGAAUUUAGCUUAUCUGCUUGGAUUCAAUGUUUGCUUAAAUCAGAAAGUUUAUGGAAAAAAAAAACUGUUAUAUGUGAUUGAUUGUGCAAUCUGCUUCGUUUUGGUUUAUGCAAUUUGUCUAGCUUAUGGCAAAUAGGAAAAGUUGUCCUAUCCCACAGAAUGAAUUUAUAACUUGCUAGAGGGAGUUUUUAUACUAAUAAGACAAAUACAUAAAAAUAGAAAUGCUUCUCGUUGCAGACAGUCUUCAAAUGUGAAUGCAAAAGAAGUUUAUUCGUGAAGUCCACAGCUCAUGCCAUUAGAUUCAAUGAUCAUGUCCCCCGCCCCCGCUUCUCCUCCAGCAUUAUUAGUUUUCCGAUAAGAUAGCAUCUAAGGGUAUUUCUCCUCCAGAAAUUUCAGUCAGAGAACCUUUACCUAUCUUAUGUUUCAGUUGCUGAUUGUCCCAAUUACCAUGGAACCGAUUCUCCUUUCUCUCUGCCUCCUCUUGUUUCUCCACAUCCUCACUCUCCUAGUGGCCAGUCAGUCGCCGCCUAUAUAUACUCCGGCCGAUGAUAUCACCCUUGACUGCGGCAAUUUGGGGCAACACUCAAAUAGCUAUGACUCCAGGAUUUGUGUGGAGACAUCAACUCAACAUUUUCCCCCAUACAAGAUGGUGAAACUAACACCACAUCACAAUUCAGAAAAGCACAUCCCUCAUUGUCGCAAUCCGCCAGCCAAGUCCCUUACACCACUGCUCGCCUUUCUUACUCGGAAUUCACUUACAUAAUUCCUCUUUCUCCUGGAAAAAAGUUCAUCCGCUUGCAUUUCAACCCUGCUUCAUACCCGGACUUCCACAGCUCGAACUCCCUCUUCUCUGUCACAGCUAGCCGCUACAUCCUGCUCAAAGACUUCAGAGCUUACAUCACUGCUGACGAUGCUUACAGGGAGAUGCCGCUGAUGAGAGAAUUCUGCAUCAACAUACAGACUGGACGUAGCUUGAACAUCACAUUCACUCCCAGCAAAGAUGCAUACGCUUUCAUCAACGGGAUUGAAAUUGUGUCUAUGCCUACCAAUAUUUACACCAGUUCAGUUCUUUCCAUCGACAGUGACAGCCCUUAUUCAAUCGAAGGCAGACAAGCUCUAGACAUGGUGUACCGAAUCAACAUAGGAAUAAAGCCAAUCAACUCUACUGAAGACACUGGAAUGUACUGAAAAUGGGACGCUGCCGAUGACAUGUAUUUGGAUGGUUUGAGUAAAAAGUCCAGCUUGCUAGCACAGAACAAUACAAUUGAGCUCAAUUUUGGUGAAACUCCAGAGUACUCUGCUCCAAAAGAAGUUUACAAAACAGGACGGUCAAUGUGGAUCAACAAGACCAUUAACAACAGCUACAAUCUCACCUGGUCAUUUCCUGUAGACUCUAACUUCUCCUACCUGGUAAGAUUGCAUUUUUACGAAUCACACUGGUGCUAGAAAACUGUUAAACAAGAAAGUUCCAACUUAGAGAGGACAACAAACUUGUUGCAUUUCCAAGUGACUUCUUCACAUCUAGAUAUUAUUUUGGCCAAAGGCAUGAGUCUCAUUCAUGAAAAGAAAAAGGAAACCUCCACUAAAAACACAAUGGACUGGACAACUAAAGCAAGAAGAAGAAAAACACUUCCACAAUAACAAAGACUUGAAUUAGAAAAUUAAACACACCAGUUUAGUAUUAUACUGUGAUGCUUGUGAUUCCAUAUCAUAAGCAGAGUAGCUUCCCUUGUUUCCAACUUCAUCCUCAUCCUCUCAUCUUUCAUCUUACACUACCUACCAUGAAACCAAUCACCACUCCUCUCUACCUCUCCUUGUUUUUCAUCACUCUCUUUCUCACCGGUCAGUCCCAACCAUACACUCCGGUCGACAAUAUCACCCUCGCCUGCGGCAAUUCCGGCCAACCGACCAAUGAUCUGCUCAGAACUUGGACAGGAGAUGUCAACUCCAAGUUCACCCCAAUAGGUAACGCAUCCGAAUCCAUAACUGCACCUAUGUCCUCCACAGCCAGCCAAGUCCCUUACACCAAAGCUCGUCUCUCUCGCUCUGAAUUCACUUACACUAUUCCCCUCUCUCCCGGCCAAAAGUUCAUCCGCUUACAUUUCAACCCCGACACAUACAACAACAACUUCCAACGCUCCAACUCCCUCUUCUCCGUCACUGCCGCCGGGUUCACUCUCCUCAAAGACUUCAACGCCUCCGUCACCGCCGACGCUUCCGGUGGCUCUCCGCUGGUAAAAGAGUUUUGUGUAAACAUCGAGACAGGACAGAGACUCGACAUCACCUUCACCCCAAGCAAAGAUGCCUACGCUUUCAUCAACGGAAUCGAAGUUGUGUCCAUGCCUACCGGUUUUUACUAUACUUCCUCACCUAAUUUCAUUGACACCAGCGCAAGCUCAUAUCCAAUCAGAAACGACACAGCUCUGGAGAUGGUGUACAGAAUCAACGUCGGCGGAGGCCCCAUAGCGCCGGACGAAGACACAGGAAUGUACCGGAAUUGGGACUCGGCCGAC